GAUCCUGGCUCAGGAUGAACGCUAGCUACAGGCUUAACACAUGCAAGUCGAGGGGCAGCGGGAUUGAAGCUUGCUUCAAUUGCCGGCGACCGGCGCACGGGUGAGUAACGCGUAUCCAACCUUCCGUACACUCAGGGAUAGCCCUUCGAAAGAAAGAUUAAUACCCGAUGGUAUGAUGAGAUUGCAUGAUAGCAUCAUUAAAGAUUUAUCGGUGUACGAUGGGGAUGCG
RNAcentral lists this ribosomal RNA (229 nucleotides) under uncultured bacterium. Its description in RNAcentral is "partial 16S ribosomal RNA". It matches the Rfam family "Bacterial small subunit ribosomal RNA", at positions 15 to 235 of the family's 1533-position model. The record is from RNAcentral.